GUGUCAGCAGCCGCGGUAAGACAGAGGGGGCAAGCGUUGUCCGGACUGACUGGGCGUAAAGCGCACGCAGGCGGUCACGGGCGUCGGUGCUGAAAGCUCACCGCUUAACGGUGGGAUGCGUGCCGAUACGCCGUGACUGGAGCUCUGCAGAGGUCCGUGGAAUUGCCGGUGUAGUGGUGACAUGCGUAGAUAUCGGCAGGAACACCCAAGGGGAAGCCAGCGGACUGGGCAGAGGCUGACGCUGAGGUGCGACAGCGUGGGGAGCGAACCGGAUUAGAUACCCGGGUAGUCC
This 292-nucleotide ribosomal RNA is filed under the name uncultured bacterium. Its description in RNAcentral is "partial 16S ribosomal RNA". It matches the Rfam family "Bacterial small subunit ribosomal RNA", at positions 505 to 796 of the family's 1533-position model. The record is from RNAcentral.